ACAUAGUAAGUAGGAAACCCAUAACAAUACUCAAGUUGCUAAGUGGGCAUUAGUAAGGGAUAGCAUGUUUUCUUACCGGCGUCUUAGCAGGCACGUUAAGAUCAGCCGUCUCUGGAGCGCUUACUUCGGCGGCCUGCUCGACUUCCAUAUUCCACAGCUACUUUAGCUGUCCGUCCCUGCAAAUGGUAGCAAGAAUCACCAGCAUCAAUUCCUGAAUCGAAUCAUACAUAAAACAAGUAACAGUAGAAUCCAAGGCAGAAACUCAGUCCAGUCCAACGGCAUUAAAAAACGGGCUUUCUUUUACAGCCUGGACGAUGAAGGAUACAGAGAUAAAGUUCACGGCUAGAAUCCAAUGUGUCCACAGUGUAAAGUAAAAUCAUUCUGGUGCUCGGAAAGGAUUAGGUGGUUCCUACUCAUGCCAAGACUUACCAACAACUCGAAAUUGGAUCGGAAAAUCGAGUGAAUCUGAACCGUGCAAAGGCGCUCAGCUCACAGAACAGACUGAAAAGACCGCACACAUCGAUGAACACGCUGUGCGCACGACCAGAUAAGAUUUUUUAAAGAAAACGUUAGAUUAUUUGAUCUGAGCUAGCUCACUGACCCUUGAAGCACAAGAUUGCAGGCACCAAACACAAGGAUCGACAGCAAGGCAUAGCAACCAAACAAGGACAAAAAAAAAAAGCAAAGCCAAGAGACAAAGACGACAGCCCGGACUCACCAACCUCCCCACGACCGUCUCGUCCCCUCCACUGCCUACCCUGAGCGGGGACAUGGCAUCUGCAGCGCCCGCGAAGUCAAAGAGGAGCGAGAGCGAUCCGAUCGGGGCGAGACACCGGAAAAGGAAACUGAAGGUGGCUGAUCGAUCGAAACACCGGAAAAGGAAACGGAAGCAAGCAGGGAAGCACGAGGCAAACGAAGAGAGGCGCAGCACUCCUCCUGGCAGCUUCCGGCUGCACCAGCACGCUGCACGCAUCGGAGAAGCCGAGAACCAAACGCCAACGAGGUGGCACGGCGACUCCAGACAGAGGGCUCCAGUGUCCAGACGGGCAAAGCGAAGCGAAGCGAAGCGAAGCGAAGCGAGGACCUCCGAACCAAAACAGACGGGGAAUCGCCGGUGGAUAAUCGCUAACCCCGAGCGCAAUCGGACUCAUCAAGAAUCAAAAUGGAAGAAAAAAGAAGAAAAAACUGGCCGUUUUCAAUACAAAAGAACCUCUCCAUCCAAUCCAGUCAGAAGAAACAUAAGUCACCUUGGAUUUGGAUCAGGAAGAGGUGUCCCGGCGGACGGCGGUCCAAUCCUUCUUGCUUCCUGUCCCUUGGCGGUUGCAGGCGAGCGAGCAGCCAGAAGGAGAACCAAGCCAGCCAACCCCGGCCAGAAAUCAACAGAGAGAAGCGGGUGGAGAGAAGAAAAAGA
RNAcentral lists this unclassified non-coding RNA (1411 nucleotides) under Zea mays. RNAcentral's name for it is "misc RNA Zm00001eb070850". Lineage: Eukaryota; Viridiplantae; Streptophyta; Magnoliopsida; Poales; Poaceae. The record is from RNAcentral.